Cucurbita maxima (winter squash) is the source of this 73-nucleotide non-coding RNA. The record is from the annotation of a RefSeq genome assembly. NCBI's taxonomy places the organism in Eukaryota, Viridiplantae, Streptophyta, Magnoliopsida, Cucurbitales, Cucurbitaceae.
GUUGUCUUAGCUCAGUUGGUAAAGCAUAUGGGUUUUAACCAUUUGGUUGUGGGUUCGAUUCCCAUAGACGGCG